This 325-nucleotide long non-coding RNA is filed under the name Struthio camelus australis. RNAcentral's name for it is "lncRNA (ENSSCUG00000007133.1)". The record is from RNAcentral. Lineage: Eukaryota; Metazoa; Chordata; Aves; Struthioniformes; Struthionidae.
UGGUGUAUUCAUUUUUUUUCCAUACUUGCAGCUUCUCAUAUGUCUUGUGUGCUUCCUCUAGUUUUUUUUUUUUUUAAUUUCCUUCUCCUGCAGAUUGUCUAGCUGUUACCCAUGAGAAGAGGUAGAUAUCCUGAGAGGACAGAACAUUUCCCUCUGCCCAUUUCAGCUAUGCCACCGUUGGAAACAGAUGGAUUCUUCACAUCUUCAUAGUGGUGCAGAUGCUUAAGCACCUUUCUGGUGCAGCCUUGAACCUGGAUUUGCUUGAGGAUAUUUAUUGGAGGACUGCUGGGAAUUUUCCUAGCUCUGGUAGACGAGACUGCUGGCA